Molecule: ribosomal RNA, 504 nt
Filed under: Eucephalobus oxyuroides
Lineage: Eukaryota; Metazoa; Nematoda; Chromadorea; Rhabditida; Cephalobidae
Description: SSU rRNA
Rfam family: Eukaryotic small subunit ribosomal RNA
Source: RNAcentral
CGCGAAUGGCUCAUUACAACAGCUAUAAUUUACUUGAUCUUGACACUAUCCUACUUGGAUAACUGUGGUAAUUCUAGAGCUAAUACAUGCAUUAAAGCUCUGACCUCACGGGAAGAGUGCACUUAUUAGAACAAAACCAAGCGGCUUCGGCUGUUUUCGGUUGACUCAUAGUAACUGAGCUGAUCGCAUGGUCUUGCACCGGCGACGUGUCUUUCGAGUAUCUGCCGUAUCAACUUUCGAUGGUAGUGUAUCUGACUACCAUGGUGAUCACGCGUAGCGGAGAAUAAGGGUUCGACUCCGGAGAGUUCGCCUGAGAAAUCGCGAACACAUCUAAGGAAGGCAGCAGGCGCGAAAAUUACCCACUCUCAGCACGAGGAGGUAGUGACGAAAAAUAACGAGACCGUUCUCUUUCGAGGCCGGCCAUCGGAAUGGGUACAAUUUAAACCCUUUAACGAGUAUCUAUGAGAGGGCAAUUCUGUGCCAGCAGCCGCGGUAAUUCCAGCU